AAUCCUCCUACGUUUAGAAAUUUAGAAAUUUUUUUUUUUUAUGUGAGAGAGAUUUAAUGAUUAAAUAAAGUUACUGUGUUAAAUUUUUUUUCUGAUCUAAGUGGCUUCUAAUGGAUUAAUAUAUUAGGAAUGAGUAUCAAAACAGUAAACAAUUUUUUUUGCGUUAUUCUUUAACAUGGUGCAGCAACGUCAUUGCAAAUUUGUGAACGGGAAUGUGCAACCGUCUGCUAGAAUCGAUCCAAUUAUUAUAAUUUAUUUUAAUAACAAAAUAAGAAUACAUUUUUUGUCAAAAAUAUUGAAUAAUAUUUAUUGGAUUUAUGUUAAGUGAGGAUUUUUUCAAUCCCAAAAGCUACUUGUAGGUAACUUUGGUCCAUAGUGGUAUUAAAAAUUUUUGCUUUCAGUUAUGCGUCUAAAAGAGAAAGGUUUUUCUCAAAACGAAAUUAACUUAAACUUUACAGUUGGACUGGGAUGUUUAGAGUGAUUAAUACAAUGGAGAUGAUGAAAAAGAUGUUUCGAUGAUGUUGUGGCAAAACAUGAAGACAUUGUUAAAAGCGCAGAGAGCAUUGAAGUACAACUUUUGAAAGAAAUUUUUGAAGAGACUCGUUGGAAGAAAAACAACAAUGCAGCAUUGAAAAAUUUUGUAUAAUUUCUUAGAGUGAAGAUCAAAGGCAUUUGAGGUUAGAGGCAAUAUUUGGAAACAUUAUUUCAUUUUACACGAAGCAAUUGAUCUUAUCAUGAAUCAAAGAAAUUUGUUUAGCCUUAAAAAGUUUGGUACUGAACUUAAAUGCAUCCACGAGGAAAUAAUGUUGGAGUUCUGCUUUAUCUCGGUGUUCUAAAAUUGCCCCAAUUAAAAAUUGCUUUGUCCGCAGGCCGGAAUCUUACUUCAAUUUUAAACUCUAUCAAAAAAUAGCUUUGAAAAGUUUAAGGAGGGCCUUCACUUUAAUGAUAAUGGCAAACAGUCUGGGGGGUUACUCUGUAAGGCAUUGCGCGAGAGGAAAUGUUCGCUAUUGCAAAAAUGCAAAACUGAAAGGCGUUAAGCGCAUUGGAUAUUUCGUUUUGAGCAUUCGUUUUUCCCCUUCGAAAUCGCGGUACCCUGUACUGCGUAAACUACUGUCAAACUUCUGUAUUUAACAAGUUUUUGAUUCGUUAUCAAACUAGUAAACCGAACGGACAAACAAUUAAUGACAAGUAUAUUGAAAGGUGUCAACGCAAAACCCGUGCAACACUGUUUACCCUGAAAAGGGAAGUCCAAAUUAUGACUUUGUUAAAUGAUCUAAAGGAAAAGUUCUGAACCAAAAAGAGCACCAAAGUAUUGACGAGCAAAUAAUUACAUUCAAUUGUGAGUGGAAAAGUCCCUGUCGUUAUAUUUUACUCAAGUCCUCAUUCAUUACGAGUCUAUUGAAUUUGAAGCAGUAUAAUCCCGCAAGGCCCCAUAAGUUGGGGAUGAAAAGGUUCACACGCGCUGGAACGUCUGGAAUGGUAUAUGAUUUUGCCCUCUAUGUUGGUGAGGGAACCUGUCUAUUAUAUGGCUUGGGAAUUUCUUCAGACAUAGUCAUUUACUUAUUUAACCAACAAUCUUUCAAAGCACCAAAAUUUUUAGCUCUAUUUUGACAACUAGUCUUCUACUAGAUUUAAAAGAAAUUGGUAUAUUUGGAACCGACACUGUGCGAAUUGAUUUCAGAUUGUAAAUUGAAAAAACGUGGAAGAGGGUUCUAUGACAAUAAAUGUGGAAUACAUCACAAUUUAAUAUGUGUUCUGUAGUUUGAUAACAAGUCGGUUCAAUUUAUAUCGUCUUAUAUGGGAGUUGAACUAAUUGGAAAUUGCGGAUAUUGGAGCACAGAAAAGUAUUUAAAGAUUCCUAGGCCUGAUAUUGUCGCCUGCUUUAAUAAAUAUAUGGGAGGAGAAUAUCUUUCAGACAUGCUAAUGGAACUGUAUAAAGUUAAUAACCGCUCAAAGAAGUGGUAUAUGAGACUGUUGGUGUUUCGGCACAUCUGUAGUUAAUUCCUGGGUACUCAAAAAAACUAAGGCACAUUCCACUCUUUAAAUUUCAACUUAUACCACCAUAGCUCAAUAUUGCUCACAAGCAACUUUCUCUACCGCCCACAAUAAAAGGCGUGGCAACAUGAAAUUUUGUUUGUAAGCUCUUUGUGACAUUAUUUUCAGGGCGGAAUCGACCAUUGCUACGACCACAAAAUGACCUUAAGCAAAACAUAUAAAGGGCUAUAACUAAACUGCAAAGUAGGAUACAAAACGCGUCAUUUGGUACAAGGUAUCGCAGUGGAAAGGGGCAUCUGGGGGCUGAAAAUAAUAAAAAUGGUCCAAAUUUGAAUACAAUCACUCCUACUUUCCAUAUAACAAAAUUUUAAAGUCCACAUGAAAAGGUCAAUUUACCAAUAUAAAUCAAGCUGCAAUAAGAUGAUGGGAAUAAAACCUUGCACGAAUAGUGCUUCUGAGGUAUGCCAUUUAACGUCCAGUCGAAAUAAGACAAUAGCUUUUCAAGUCUCCAGACACCAAACAUGUGGAUUUCAGUGCCGUAUAAAGCGUCUCUCUCUAAUAACCUUGUGCAUAAAAUAAUAAUAAUCCGAUUGUGGAACAAAAUAUAAUCAACGAUAAACUACUAGAACCAACUAACAGAAUGUUCGAAUGGCGAUGUUUUGGUAACAAUCUCCUAUAUAAGGGCAGCCGGAUUGUGCAGCAGGAACAGUUCUAAUUAGAGUGCUGCUUAGUAAAGGGCUAUAAGUUCUAAACUCGAAUAACGAUUAAUAAGUGUUAAGUUGUUUAAAUUAUAAAUAAAAAUAAGUGUAUAGCCAUUAAA
This is a long non-coding RNA of Bactrocera oleae (olive fruit fly), 2815 nucleotides long. RefSeq lists it as uncharacterized. NCBI's taxonomy places the organism in Eukaryota, Metazoa, Arthropoda, Insecta, Diptera, Tephritidae. The record is from RefSeq and is a predicted model, not a curated record.